This is a non-coding RNA of Castor canadensis (American beaver), 7470 nucleotides long. The record is from RefSeq and is a predicted model, not a curated record. Lineage: Eukaryota; Metazoa; Chordata; Mammalia; Rodentia; Castoridae.
CGGAAGAGCGAGCCGCUUUCCCGGCGCGGGCGGGGGAGUGUCUCCAAGGCCGUCCUCUCUGGCUGUGGCGGAGAACCGGGGAUGCCCACGCUCCCCGUAAGCCAUGGCUCGGGCACCCCCUUCCCGGUCCCGGCAAUGAAAAGGAGUGAACACUGCUACAUGAAACAAAAUAGAUGGAUUUCACAGAAGUGAUGGGGUAUAGCCACGUGUAGCAAAGUCCACCACAUCUGAAGUAUACCUGCCCUCCAAAUCAAGAUUCAGAACAUUUCCAGUGCCCAAGAAGACUCCCUUUUUCUCCUCUUAGUUUAACUUCUAAGUCACCUUGAGGCUUCAAUAACUUCUUUCUGUGGAAGAAGUGGAUUAGAAGAGAAAAAACACUAAAACUAGGAGUCAGCCAAGGGGCUGGACCAUGGCUCAAGUGCUAGAACACCUGCCCAGCAAGUGUGAAGCCACAAGUUCAAAUGUCUUCUUAACCUGGAAUCUGAAGUGUACGUCUAGGAGAUUUGUGAAUACUCUAAAAGUUUAUGCUCCUUCUACAUGGUAUAUUUGCAAGCAAGAGUAACUCUGAAAUCAGGAUGAAUAGCAUUGUCCUCACAAUGCAAAGACUCAUGCACUUGGAGCACUCUAGGUGAGAGAAAAAAAUCACAGAUUUUGCCAUGCGAUAAAAUGCAUCAUCUUCUCCAUUUCUUCAUCAAGGUACAACAACCUCUGGAAAUGAUUUCAAUCUACACUACAGCACCAUAGACGGCUCCCUGGAUAAGACACCAAUCUAGUAGGGAGAACACAGAUCUCAGUGUUGGACCUAGAAAGGAAUCUUGUCUUUACUACGUAGCCUGCUCUGCAUCUCACACUGACGCUGGUGUACCUGAGUGAAGCACCAGAGUCAGAACUCAGGGCUGCAUGCUUGCAGGCGCUGUACAACUGGACCCACUCUACCAGCCGAAACUUCUUUUAUUUAGACAAGAUGAGGAGUAUGAAGCAGAGUUUAAAUAACACUCCCAAGAUUGUGUGGCUACAAAGUGACAGAGAUCGGUUCUGAACUCUAUUGCCAGCCCUGAACCCUGUUACCUGAGAACAGGGAGUGAAGUAAGGAUCACCGCCUUCAGAGUCAGACCGGACUGAGGCUGAAUUGCAGCUUGGAGAAGCAAGGAAGACCAGCUCAGAACUGGGAUUGGAGAACAGAGAGACACUUAUCGGUGACAGAACUUUUGCCACUCUCUACCUUAACUUAGACCUGUACUUAACUGAGGUUAAAAGCGAUAAAGCAGCCAGGUGCUACUCAAAUUGUAGAGUUACUCUGGUAUUUCCAUUAAGAGGAGUUUUUAAUCUGGACGAAGAAGUAAAAGUUUACACCAAUUGCUUCCAGAACAGGAAUAAUAAGAGCCCCAUUUCCCAAGUGAUUUCAAGGCACCAGAAUUGUGUUUUAUGAGCACUGUAUGUUUUAUCUCACAAGCCACUUUGGGAGAUACUCUCCCGAACCUGAUGAGGUAGGUGCUGCUGUUGUCCCUAUUGUCGCUGUACCUUGUGAUAUGUCAAAAUGCCUGGAAUAUGUACACAGUCAUUCUAAGUGCUCACGUAAGUAAAACACAGCUAGAGUUUCACUAGAAACUCAGUAAAUGUUUGCUUAAUGAAAACACAAAGGGCUUGUUUAGCAGUUGUGUGUCUUGGGCUGUAGCCUUUGAGAAGCAUGUGGAAAAAAAGAAGCACUGCCAUCCCUCUUAGCAGAACAUCGGAGAUGGUAUCACGUGACUAGACAGCUGCUGUUUUCCCCAUCGUGAUUCAGGCUCAGAAUUGUUCUUUAAUCCUUAAUUUCACCAUUAAAGAGAGUUUCUAUCAAGUGCUUCAGAAGUACACAGUGUGAAGGGUCAUUAAUGGUCCCCUGCUGGUGACUGAGUGAGUGGGAGGACCCAUGUUCCUGGCCGUCAUGGGCACUGCAUUCAGUGUGGGCAGAAAUACAGGCUGGAGGGUGAGGGGUGCCAAGGACCUGUUUUCCUCCCACUUCCUUACUCUUGUCAGUGGGUCACUGUGUCUCCUUUGUAGUCCAACCAGUCACUCCUGGGCCAAUCUAAGAAUAUAUUCAUUCUUUUGCUAAGGUGGGGGAAAAAUUGCAUUCAAGGUUCAAGUAAUUUGAAGUUCCCUUCCUUUUAUAUCGAAGUCUUGCACCCAUGUUGUUAUAAAGUUAAAGCACUGGAUUAAGUUUGCUCCUUUGUUACUUUUUUCCAGCUAUUAUGCACUUGGCUCCCUAGAAGGCUAUUCUAUGGUUUUAAAAAAAAAAGUUGUAAGUUGACAAAAUGAUAAUUCUAACCAAAAAAUAGGAACUCCAAUUUAAUAGUGUAUUGUUGACAGUUACUCAAUUUUUCAAUCCAGUCAUAAUGAGACAAGACUCUGCAUAAACCAACGACCACACAGAUUAUCAGUGGUAAGUAUCAACAGGGUGUGGAGGAAAUGGGUUAUGAUUUCUUCUUCUCCCAACUGCUGUAAUGUUUUGCCUUUCAGAAAUCAGUUGUUAAGAGUACGUUAAGCCCUGGCAUACCAAGGUAUAACUGUCCCAACAACACAAAGGUAGGGUGAGUGGCACAGGCACGACUUUUUCACCCUUGUUCUCGCAGGGACUCUCUCCACCAAGCUCUCUUUCUCUCUUUGUUCUCAAGUGUUACUAUGUCAUGUCAUUGUGUCAAUUCAGUCUAUUGGAAGUUCCUGUGUCCUCUGUAAUUUAGGCUUUACACAACAUAUGAUUUACUCUGUUAUUUGAAAAAAAAAAAAAAAGUCUAGCUGUUUUCCCUGACUGGAAGACUGGCAUCCUUAAUCUUCUAUAGAAAUCGUGAUGAAGGAACAGAUAAACCUAAGUAAAUCCAGCUCCUUUAAAUGUGUCAACCAGUUAAAAACUAAAAGUUGAUUUUGUCCUGAACGUCCUUCCUUGCUGGGUACAUUAUGCAGAAAAAGGGGCCCCAGCCCAUUUGCAGGGCUCUGAAUGAGCUCCAUUCAUUCUGUCCUUGGAAGUGUCUCUUGAGCCACAAAGAGAAACAAUAGUGUUACAACCUAAUUUCUUUGGCACAGAUAUGGGUAGAGGAAAAGCCAAGAGACCAUUAUGAAAACUCUAAUACUUUCUCUUGGUGGUUAUAUAAUUUUGUAUUCAUUGGUGGUAUUUGUAUAUUUAAGAAGUAUGUUUUCUAAAAGGUUAUAAAGUGGUUCUGUCAUACUGUCAUAUCACAUUUCAUGCACAGGGCAACAUUUUUAAAAUGGAGUGUUUGAAAGUAAUUUGUUUCUUAUGGUUACUAAAGUUUAAAAAAUACACUAACAUGUACCCUGAGGCUUUAAGAGAGAAUCUUUGUGUUUUUCCUUAUUGUGUUUUUAAAUCUGAUAAGAAUUUAAAACCACAGUUUUGUGAGCUAAAAUCCAUUAAUCAGGUUCCACGUUUACCUGUAGAAGUCAGUGAUGGGCGUAGAGGUGUCAUGUUUAUAUGAUUUCCAAGCCUCUGGAGUAAGCUGGUCUCAGUGCAGCUCUGAUGUGAGCAUAUUACUCCACCACGACUUCCCACAGUGCUUAAGGGUAGGCCAGUCUUCCAUGCACAUUAGAAAGUUCCCUUUCUGGCUUCUGAUUUUUGCAACUCUGCCCUUUUAGCCUCAUCUCCUGCCUCUUCCCUUGCUGAACUUUCUUCAGCUGGCCUGGCUCUUUCUCUUCUGGAUUUCUGCUUAUUCCUGCCAAGAAGUUUCCACCAUCCCCCCCCCCAUCCUCAUCUCCAUCCUCCCAUUUAAUCUGAUGGGCCUUCACUCACCUUUAAGACAGCCUGAAGGUACUUUUUCAGGAAGACUUUUAGUUGUAUUAACUGACCAGUUAAUAGUUCUAUGUAUUUGCAGCUGAGAUUACGUGGGGAUUACAAGCAGGAGAUGAAGGACUUUCUAAACUGCACUUGCAAGGUUUGGAGUGGCAAAUCCUCCUCUGUUUGAAAACUUUGCAGGAUCCACUGAUCUAGAAGGAGUCAAUGGGCAGUGGACGAGGAAACACUGCAGUCAUCUCUUUGCUCUAUGUGAUGAGCCCUGGGAAAAAUUGCUUGCUUCCAUUGGAUGUUUGGAAUCCCUGCUAAUUCAUCCUUGAGACCUAUCAGCUGCCAAUGUUUGACCCCUGUUGUCAUGUACUGGCACCUCCUCUGGGUGGUGAGCCUAUGUACUGAGAGAACGUGGUACACUUCACACUAGUGCAUUCAAAAGCUCUCUUGGUAGAAGCCAUCGGGAUCAUGAAACAUGAGUACUCUGGAUCACCAUGAAAUGUGGCUCAGUGAUGUGGCAUUACAAACUUGACACAGUCCUGUUGGUGACCUGUAGAAGGCUUGGAAUGGAGUACACAGAUAGACAUCUGCAGUAGCUAUUAUCUUUUGGAGACUCAAGAUUGAUUUUUGUAUUUCAGAAUUAAAUAAUUUUUCAAUGUGAUAUUGCAUGGCAGGUGGUAGCAAAAACUUUGUUACGUAUUUUUAAAGACAAAAAAUUAUUUCAUAAUGCCUUUUAACUGAUUUUCUUAUAAAACUCCCACCAACUUAUUACCAAGUCAUCUGUCUCAGAUGUAACUUCUCAGUCCAAGCUAAUCUUUCUGUGAAUUUGUUUGUUACUUCACAGUUGUGGUUCAUGUCUGUCCAAAGUUGUCCAUUUGUUCUUCUGUCCCCAUAUUAUGAAAAGUCGAUCUAGAGCUCUCUGUACUCUACAGCAUGAAAGGCAAUCCAUUUUUCAAAUUUCUACAGCAGGUGAAGGGAAGCACUUCACAGCACUGGCUGAAGCUCAGCUCAUCUGUUGUUCCUAAUCGCACAGCCAUCUGAGUCUCAUGGCCUGCCCCUUGCAGAGGUGACCCCAGUGGGGGUCUCGUCCUCUGUGGUGCCACUUAAGAAAGCCAGUGCAGGGUGGAUGUAGUGGAAAUAUUAUGUAGUUGUGCAUGAAAAUGUUAAAGUGAGACCUGCUGAACUACUCCAGGAAUUGGUUAAUGGGGGACAAAGGAGAAUGAGGGAGGGGGUGAAUUCAACUCUGAUAUAUUGUAAAAACUUUUGUAAAAUAAACAAAAAAGAAAGUCAGUGGACCCACUACCUACAUCUUGUUUCUUAUCCAAAAUGUUGAGGGUCUAUACAUUGUAACUUAACCAUUUCGAAUGUAAUAUGGCAUUAUACCAAAGAGGAUUUGUCAUAGUAAUAUAUGAAACGUAGUUCAUAGAAGUAUAGCAAAGAGAUUUCCAAGACCUCAUUGAGUUCAGUGGAUAGGAAGGACAGGUUAGAAAUAAGGAGGCCUGACAUUCUUUCCUCAGGUCUGCUUAUUACACAUGCGUAUUGGAGGCCAACUGUUUAAAUUCUGUAUGUUUGACCAAGAAAGGGAAAGAAGUUGAAGGAAUACCCAUUCCUUUUAAGAGUAAGAUCCAGAAUUUACACACAUCAAUUCUGCUCACAUACCUUGGCCAGAGCUUAGUUGGUUGGUCACAAGAAAAAGGAGGCUAUUGGUAAGGAUCUCAGACUAUUGGACAGCAAUGAGUGGCUCUCCUUGUUGUCCCCUUUCGUCAGGAAAGCAAAUGUCUUUCAGAAGUCUUCCCUGCCCACCACAGCAAAUUUCUGCCUGGUCACAUUUCUGGAUAGGUUCCGUGGUUAGCCCCAGCCACAAGGAAGCUGGAGUUGCAGGAGGCAGAACGGACUGGAUUGGCUUUGACCAAAGUUUCCCAAGCUGUUCUGUGUUCAAGCUUCCUUGGGUCUCAGCGAUUUUUUUUUUUAGUAGUGCUUAUGGAGAUUCAUACAUGCUUAAUUUAUAGCUUAAUAGCUAUUGAAAAAAACCAUGUAAAGUAAAAGUAAUACCUUUUUCUUUCUUAAGUAACCGCAGUUACGAAUGAGAUAAGUAUCUCUACAAGUUCUUGAACGUUGGAAUCACGCGGAACCAUGCUGCCUUCAUUUCUCGCAUCCUUGCUUUUUUAUCACAGAAACCAAUGAAAACCCAACUUUGCAAUGACCUGACCCCUAACGGAAUGUAACGUAGCACGUUUUACUGCGGAAGGUGUGGAUUACCUCAGGCUGGGAGUUUAUUGCCAUCAAAUGUCAUCCUGUUUCCCUUGAAAAGUUGAAAUGUGCCCUCACCGCUACUCAGUGAGUUUACUUUGGCACCCUUGGGGAAUGGAUGUACAGUUCGGGAAGCAUGGGCUCAGACCAAUCAUGAGUCAUUUCCUAGGGCUGGACAUAUUACUCCCCAGAUAAGAAUUAGACUUUGUUGGGUCUCAGGAAAUGAAACCCAAAAUAUACUACGGUGGCAUGCUGACUAUUUUGAACUAAAGGAGAUUAGAUUUUAGAAACAAAAUCUCUGGCCUUCUCCUACUCUCCUGUCUCUCGCCCCUUUUUCUCCCCUGAAGCAAGACAUAGAAACUAGAAUUCUUCCCCAAAGUGAGUCACGGAAACCACAAUCCCUCACUUCAGAGGGUCCUGUCCCUUACCCCGAGGGAGGAAUGCUAUGCUAAGAAGAGCAAGAAGAAUCUGAACAAACAGGCCUUGCUGGGUUUUCCUUCCAUGUGUUACCUUUAGGUCAGAAGCUUUUGUUCAAGCACACAUCUACACAGCCAGCCAUUCUUCCCUGAGCCUAAGCAUACAGGUAGACAGUGUUUCCUGGGACUUUUCUUCAGUUCUAAUGUCUCCCAUGUCACAUAAAACUCAGAUUAAAUAAAUGUGUGAUCUUUUUCUCUUGUUAAUCCGUCUUUUGUUCCAGGAGAUUCAAUUGUAAUCCUUAUGGGUUUGGAAAGGAAUGACACCUUUCUGUACCUCCACCUUCUUUUAGACAGAAGAGAGAAUGAAAAUUAUUUAGGAAACUAACAAUUUCUGCCUCAGUCUACCCCAACUAGACCACAUGCUCUGAGAGCAGUGUUCACACACUGGUUUAUGUGUCUCUUUACUCUUGGUACUUACAUGGAGCACAGUACAUAUUUACUAAAUGAAUGAAGAAACAAAGACAAUUUAGCUGACAAAAUGAUUAAUCUAUUGGUCAUAGAAUGAUAAAUUAUGGGAAAUUAGUUGCCUAUACAAGUUUUUGUGUGAAUUCAAGGCUUAGACAACGCAUGCCUUCCUCAUUUCUUAAAAGUGCCCAGUCAUUGUUUGGCUGAAAGGAGGAUAUCGAAAAAGGUUGGUUGGAUGAAUGAGCAGAUGUCUUGGUUAGAGCUAUUCUGUGUCCAAAUACCAUUACAAGAGUUCAAUUAACUGAUAAUGAAAAUUCUUACUCAUGAGUUCUCAAUGCAAGUAUCUGUGCUGAUUGCCAAGACAGAAAAAUAACCACUCCCUCUCAUUGUUAAGGAUGUAAAGCUGUCUCUUGCUACCUGUAAAGUCACCAUUAGAAAAACUGACACAAAAGGACAAGCAAAUGAUUUUGAGAUUUCAAAAAGCACAUUUUCCACAUUAUCAGAAGCCAAACUAUUUAAUAAUUGAAGAUCAUUUCACAAAGUCCAGAAAGAUGAUUGCAUACUUAUUUUUAA